AAGCAGACAACUAGGAGAAAGGGUGAAUUUGAGGUGCCAACUCCAAAGGAUACAUCAAGGAUGGGCACAAUAACAUGCAGUAACUGUGGUCUGCAAGGCCACAGGUGGACAAUGUGUGGAGACAGACUUAAGGCCAAGUUUAUGAUAAGGAAAAACAACCACCAGGAAAACAGGGCAUCCUACCUAGCAACUUCAGCACCAAUCAGGCCACCUCCAGCUAGGGCCACAUCAUCAGGUCCAGCUCCAGCUUCAGGUCCAGCUCCAGCUGCAGGUCCUGCUCCAGCUUUAGGACCACUUAGGGGCAGGAAACCAGCAACAGCUUCAACAAGGGCAACCACAUCUGCUACAACAAGGGCAACCACAUCUACUGCAGUUUCAACAGGUGGAUCAAGA
This 393-nucleotide ribosomal RNA is filed under the name Triticum aestivum (bread wheat). RNAcentral's name for it is "partial small subunit ribosomal RNA". Lineage: Eukaryota; Viridiplantae; Streptophyta; Magnoliopsida; Poales; Poaceae. The record is from RNAcentral.